RNAcentral lists this ribosomal RNA (253 nucleotides) under uncultured bacterium. RNAcentral's name for it is "partial 16S ribosomal RNA". It matches the Rfam family "Bacterial small subunit ribosomal RNA", at positions 524 to 776 of the family's 1533-position model. The record is from RNAcentral.
GACAGAGGAGGCAAGCGUUGUCCGGAGUUAUUGGGCGUAAAGCGCCCGUCGGCGGUUUGGCAAGUCUGGGGUUAAAGCCCGGAGCAUAACUCCGGAUCGGCCCUGGAAACUGCCAGACUAGAGUGAGGUAGGGGUUGCGGGAAUUCCCGGUGUAGCGGUGAAAUGCGUAGAUAUCGGGAAGAACACCAGUGGCGAAAGCGCGCAACUGGGCCAUUACUGACACUGAGGGACGAAAGCUAGGGGAGGGAAGGGG